CUGGCCGUCCCGCCCCUCCGAAUCCUCGGGAGAAGCGGGACUAAGGAUCAAGCUGAGGUGAAUGUGUAGCCCUGUGACCUCAGCGCACGGGGGCGGGGCGAUCGCCGAACACCCCCGCCCUCCCCGCCUCCAGCGCGAGUGACAACCCGGUCUCUGGCUCUGGAGCUGCGGCGCGGAACAAGCCCCGCAGGGCCUUCCCUGGCCGCCAACACACCACUCCCGGAGCUGAUUCCCUGUGCCCAGCUCCUUUCUUGGCGAGGCUUCAGUCCCUUAGUCGGCCUCAGUCUGUCCGCCUUCGGAGAGGUCUGAGCGCUGGCCGGAGACAGGUAGACACCGAGAAUGACAGAACCUAGAGGAAGCUGGAGAGAGGCAGCGAGGAAACGAGGGCCCGGCGGGCAGCAGCAUGAAAUUCAGCCCAGUGCCCUACCUGCAGCCUCUCCUGCCCGCGCUGGUCCUCAGCACCAGCUCACAGGUUGUUUUCUUCGUCACUAACUCCGAAUUUCUGAGAGAUGUCAAGCAGAGCCCAAUCUAAUAUACAAGUUCUGGUUGCAUAGCUGUACCCACUAUAAUUACAUUUCAAAAAAUGUAUAGCAUGAUAGACUUGGGAUUUGGAGGAUAGAGGAGAAAGAAGUUGGCAACCCCUCCAUCAACACAAUGAGAAAUAAUAAAGAGAAAGACAAAAGAUACUUCAGGAGCUUAUAGGCGAUAAUAUCACCAUUUGAACAAAGUUUCAUCCUGACAAUUCAAUUGAUGGUGCUGGAUGACAAUAGAGAUUCACAGCACUUUUGGACAAGAUUUGCUUAAGAAGUAUGUGGAGGAGGGUAUUCUGGGAAGAUGGCAGCAUCAGAAGCACCAGGAUUUGUUUACCCACCUAGACAACAAUUGUACUGGCAAAAUAUUUCUGAUGUAAAUAUUUGGAACUCCGGAGGCAAAGGCUUGGAAGUCAUGUGAAGAUACAAUGGGAAGACAGCUGUGUGCAAACCAGGAAGAAUUCUCUCACAGACGCAAGAUUUGCUGGCACCUUGACUUGGACUUCCCAGUCUCCAGAACCAUGUGAAACAAAUGUUGUUUAAGCCACCCAAUCUAUGGUGUUCUGUUAUAGCAGCCAGAACUUAUUAAGACACUAUUUUACGUAGCAUUCUCAAUUAUGAUGCCAUUUGCUAUUUCAAAGAUGGGUGGGUGUGGCAUAUCACCAUUGAGACAAAUUUCAUAUACUGCCAGCUGAAACUCAGUGUUUUCACUUCCUAAUGUGAAACAUUUGAGUCCUGCCUCCUGCAUCCUACAGUUAUGCAUCACUUAGAUUGAAUGAGGAAUCCUGUCUUUCAUCAUUCACUUUACUUGACCCAAUUGAUGAGAGAAAUCAUAUUUCUGACUACUCCAGUGAAAAUUACCCAUAUUGUUAAUUUUUGUUGUUGUUGUUAAAUUAUCUAUGGGCUCAAGAGGCCAUGAAAUAUAAUCCACCAAGAUAAUCCUAAUAAAGAAGUGUUUUAUGCAGUUUGAGUUGUUUUCACUGUGGCCUCUGUGCAAGAAUAUUAUAAAACCCAAUUUAGAAUUGUUUUUCUGAAACAAAUUAGUUGAGCAGCAACUACAUUUCAGUUUCUGCUUCACAAGGGAGUGGCUGAACUCCUGCAAAACUUUCAUUAUGUUCUUGCUUUCUUACUAGGAGUUUAAUUCUCUCCGUAGGUAAAUUCAGUUUAGAAUUUAUUUUUCAGGGUUGUCUGCAAUUUAUUUUGCAUUAUUUGAUCUUGUAAUAUAAUCAUGGAGUAUUAUGGUUGCAUAAGCAUACAAAUUCAAGAAUAAGAUGCAUGCACUUCUCAGUAAGGUUUUUCCUCUCUGCACUGUGCUUGGUGAAAGUGUUGUGUAUGUAGAUUAAAGAGAGGUGACAGAAUGACAGAUCCCGAAGGUAAACUGACUGGGAUUUCAAAUUCUAGUUGCAUCACUUAUUGAUUUUUUAAACUUAAGGAAUUUACUAACAUUUAUCUGCUUUGGUAUAACUACUUUCUAAAUGGAUUAGAAAAUUCCCUGUGCCUCAAUUUCUUCACCCAUAAUGCACAAUAUAGGUUAAUCUUUAAUUUGUGAGUUAGUGAUGGGUUUGUUGGGAAAAAUAAAUGAAUUUUUAAAAUAGUUGUUAAAAUUGCUUGUCACAUGGUAAGAACAUGCAUUAUUCUCUAUUUUAUCUCUGUUGUAAUUUUAGUAUCUAUGCGAAACCUAUAUCUGCAAAGUUAUUUGAUUUGCAUGUGUGUAUGUACAGACACACUAAAAGAAAGGCAUUAGGUUGUUGAAUAGAAGCAAGGACGUCACUAAUGUUAAUAAACAAAAUUUUACAAUGUAUUUGGGGAUUGAAACACACACACACACACACACAAACACGCACACACAUCAUUACAUACAGAAAUACACAGCUUUGAGAAAAUAUUUUUCUAUAAUUUAUGGGGAAGAAGUAAUCUCAUUCUAUGACCCAGUCCAAAAUAUUUUUGAUGUUUACCUUCAAAACAGUGAGAUAUACAGAUGUCUUAAUUUUUUUGAAGCAAGAUAAUUUUUCUAUAAUAUAAUCAUACUGGAAAGGUUGUAUGGGAUUUUUUGAUUAAUUAAUAAACUGAGACUUAACAGUAUCAAUGCAAAAAUUGCACUAGGCAAAGUUAAACAGGAAACGAACACUUUAUUUAAGGGUAUAGCAACGGGAGAUAGAGACAACACACAGUCUGAACUCAACUCCACUGAAACAAAGAGCAGAAGGAUUUCUGAGAGCUGGGCAGGGAGAACUGUAGGCCCACUGCAUUGUUUGCUAAUUGGCCUCACCGAAAGGAAAAUUAAACUUUCUUGUAUCUUCAUUGCAGUUGAUAGUUGUACAUCACGGAUGAAGUCACCCACCAAACAUAGGCUCCUACCAUCCUUCAGAGAGUGGGAGAUAGGGGUACUGUCAUCCCUAGUUAUUACGUUUCAAAAGAAUGACUUCCUUGAGAAAGAUAGUCCUAAAUUGUAAAAUUGGAAAAAGGCUUUUAGAAACAUUACAUUUUACAGGGUAGAGAAAUAAUGUACAAUCGCAGGUUUUAUAAAGUAAAUGCUCUAAGAAAAAAGGAAGUUGGGGCAUACAGUCAUGAAAAAUGUUGUCCAAAGUUUAGUCGAGCUGAGGGAAAUACUAAGACCAUCUUUUGUUUAUAAUUUAUAAAUCUGACUAUUUUAAAAUUUAAACAAAACAAUACAAAACCAGGAUCAUUUUGGACAGAUAAACUCCCUUUACCUCAGCAUGCUUAUCUGUGAAAUUGAGAUUUUAAUAUUUGAUUCAUUUGAUUUGUCGUGAGGUUUUAAUUAAAUGGUAUAGGCAAACACUUCACAGGCUGGAAGAUUAUUUUUCAAUCAAUACAAGAGCUGUUAGUUUUAUCACUGGCAUUAUUUUUCCUCCAUAGUACAAUUUAAUUCCUCUAUACAAUGUCAAUCUACCACUCUGAAAAGCUGACUCAAUAAGUAUUUUAAAGGAAAAUGAAAAAAAUAUUAACCAGGUGUUCUGGCAAUAAGCAAUACCACUAUUAUCACCAUACUAGUUAAUUACUGAAACAGUGGAGGCUCUGUUCUGAAAAAAAAAAAUUUAUUGGCUUCAAUAAAAUUAAAAUCUGAUUUGAACAAGGAAAUAAAAAUCUGACAUCAUAAAUAUCCUUUUCACAUUUAUAUACAGUUAUGUGUUCCCAUUCAAAUGAAAUCUGUUUUAAUAAAUAAUUAUUAUUUUUUUCCUUAUUAGUAUAUUUUUGACACUGGGAGAUAUUGAAUACCAAAUCUUAAAAUUAUUAAGGGAAAUGAGGAUUUUCUAUAUCACCUUCUGCUGUUUGCAACGUUUGUAGUUCCAAUGUUAAUAGUCUAAUUUGUUAAACGACCACAAAUUCCAUGUAAAUGUGCUGUUAAAUUAAUGGUCCCAGUCUUAGGAGGUAACUAGAUGAGUAAAAUAUGUUCUCUUUUUGAAAAAUAGUGCUGGCUCUUUGCUGUAAAUUACCCCUUUUAAGAAGCCAGAUGGUGAGUGGAAAAAGUAAUUUAAUUUAAAAAGCAUAAAGUGUAUUUAAACACAGGAUUGAAAUGAAUAUUUUAUGUAUAUAUUUAUAUGAUUGAACAUGUUCAAGAGAUUUUACACUACUUCUAGCUGAAAAUUAUAUGGAAUGGAUCAAUAAAGAAAUAUAAUAAGGAUCAUCCUGAUUAUAUAGAUCAUCCUGCUAGAAGUAUAUCAUUUAGCCCAGAGUAUAUAAAGAUCUAUAUGGACAAGUAAUAAAAUCUUACUAUUCUCAACUGGAAAUCUUCAUUCUUUGAACAUAUUUUAUGUGCUCAUUUUACAGACCCUCCUAGAGAUAU
Long non-coding RNA from Gorilla gorilla gorilla (western lowland gorilla), 4335 nucleotides. RefSeq lists it as uncharacterized. Lineage: Eukaryota; Metazoa; Chordata; Mammalia; Primates; Hominidae. The transcript has 5 exons. The record is from RefSeq and is a predicted model, not a curated record.